UCCCCGCAGGUUCCCGGGGCGGCGGGGGGCGGCUGGGCUCGAUAGAGCUGCCGCGGCCUGAGGGGGGGCAGGAGGCGGGCAGCCUUUGCCGGCGGCCGCUCAGGGCGUUUCGGGGUAGCGGAGGCGGCGGGGCAGGUCCCCUCCGGUGCGAGGGAGUUAAAAUGGUGCCGAAACUUGAAGAGGGGAGAGCGGGGGUGCCGUGCGGGGCGGCGGCGGGAUGAGGUGGGGGGAGGCCCGGGCAGCCCGGCCCUGCCCCGGGGCUGGUGUGGCGAGGUCGCUGUCGCUUCGCAGCUUGUGUCAGUGAUUUCCAUCCAAGCUGAAAUCCUUCCCGUCGCGAUUAACCCAGGAACAAUUUGCUAAGAGGAGUCUCUGUUGUUAUGCGGAAACUCUGAUCUCCUGUGCUAAAGGCCACGAAGCGGUAAGUAUUCUCCUGCAAAGAUAUUUUUUUUUCCUACACAUUGCACAAAUCAGCGCUGCUGUUAGUACAAAUUCGCAGCAUCCAUUGCUCGAAUUCAGAGCGAGUUAUUACAGAGCAUGCUGUGAAUGCAAAUUAAAAAAUAACGCACAACACUCAACCAAAUCCUAACGGGCCAAUGGCACGAUGUCAAAUACAUCCGGAGCAAAGACUUCUAAUACUGUUAUUAAAACCCCAAGCAAACAAACAAGGCGAGUAAAUCAGCACUGACAAAAGCAGUUGGAGCAGCGUUUGCUGGUCACAGAUCAGCGUGCAGCCCGACGGCACGGCUCCCAGCGGCUCCCAAAAUGCCUGCACGGCUGAAGGGAGAAUAUGCCUCCAGAGAUGUCACGUAAUGGAUGGGUUCUCAUCAGGCGGUGUCGAUGAUGGGGGAGGUAAUUACGUCAGGCUAAACACUUCUUUCCAUCAGUGAGUGUGGCACAGUGUGUCCGGCUGCUAAUCUGUGGAAAAACCCGAUUUGGAAUCGCAUGUCUGUUGAAGUGUGGGUAUGAAACGCUCAGCUAGAGAAACGAGGGGCCAUCGUGGAGUUGAGAGUCAUCCUUAAUGAUACACCUGAGGGGCUGCAGUGGUCAGUCAGCAUCGUUUAUGCUUAUGGGAAUUCCGGGGAGACCUAAUAGCAGCCUUCCAGUACCUGAAGGGGGCCUACAGGAAGGCUGGGGAGAGCCUGUUUAGAAAGGCCUGCAGUGACAGGACGAGGGGAAAUGGCUUCAAGCUGGAGGGGAACAGAUUUAGAUUGGAGAUUAGGAGGGGGUUCUUCACUGUGAGGGUGGUGGAGCACUGGAAGAGGUUGCCCAGGGAGGUGGUUGAGGCCCCAUCCCUGGAGAUAUUCAAGGAGAGGCUCGACGAGGCCCUGGGCAACCUGGUCUAGUUGGGGGUGUCCCUGCUGACUGUGGGGAGGUCGGACUAGAUGACCUUUGGAGGUCCCUUCUGGCCUGGGCAAUUCUAUGAUUCUAUGAAUUGGUAGACACAAUUUAGGAAAAUAAAUUAAUGCAUGAUGUAAGCA
Molecule: long non-coding RNA, 1478 nt
Filed under: Calidris pugnax (ruff)
Lineage: Eukaryota; Metazoa; Chordata; Aves; Charadriiformes; Scolopacidae
Description: lncRNA (ENSCPUG00000010159.1)
Source: RNAcentral